AAAUGCGAUAAGUAAUGUGAAUUGCAGAAUUCAGUGAAUCAUCGAAUCUUUGAACGCACAUUGCGCCCGCCAGUAUUCUGGCGGGCAUGCCUGUUCGAGCGUCAUUACAACCCUCAGGCCACCGGGCCUGGCGUUGGGGAUCGGCGGAAGCCCCCUGCGGGCACAACGCCGUCCCCCAAAUACAGUGGCGGUCCCGCCGCAGCUUCCAUUGCGUAGUAGCUAACACCUCGCAACUGGAGAGCGGCGCGGCCACGCCGUAAAACACCCAACUUCUGAAUGUUGACCUCGAAUCAGGUAGGAAUACCCGCUGAACUUAAGC
Molecule: unclassified non-coding RNA, 319 nt
Filed under: plant metagenome
Description: partial contains 5.8S ribosomal RNA, internal transcribed spacer 2, and large subunit ribosomal RNA
Rfam family: 5.8S ribosomal RNA (bases 1-104)
Source: RNAcentral